Molecule: small RNA, 1910 nt
Filed under: Pan troglodytes (chimpanzee)
Lineage: Eukaryota; Metazoa; Chordata; Mammalia; Primates; Hominidae
Description: processed transcript
Source: RNAcentral
AUGCGCAGGGCGGGGCCGCUGACCCGCCCCCGCCAUCCCUGCAACUGGAGGUGGGGAUUUUGGAAAGAUGCGCCUGAGAUUACUUAUGCUCGUCCUCGGAAACCCAAGCGGCACAGGAAAGUCCAAAAAGGAAGCAAAGGCGAGCAUCCGAAGUCUCACCCAAAAAUAACUACUGCUGCGUAUUAUAGCGUAUUAUAAUUGGGGAAACAGCAUUCCAAUCUUCUCUCCAUGCACAGGCCGGGCGCGAUGGCUCAUACCUGUAAUCCCAGCAUUUUGGGAAGCCAAGGUGGACGGAUCACCUGAGGUCAAAAGUUCGAGACCAGCCUGGCCAAAAUGGUGAAACCCCGUCUCUACUCAAAAUACAAAAUUAGGCCAUACGCGGUGGCUCACGCCUGUAAUCCCAGCACUUUGGGAGGCCGAGGCAGGUGGAUCACCUGAGGUCAGGAGUUCAAGACCAGCCUGACCAACGUGGUGAAACCCCAUCUCUACUAAAAAUACAAAAAUUAACUGGGCGUGGUGGCGGGCACCUGUAAUCCCAGCUACUCGGGAGUCUGAGGCCGGAGAAUCUCUUGAAGCGAAGAGGCGGAGGUUAGAAUGAACCGAGUUGGUGCCACUGCACUCCAGUCUGGGCAACAGAGUGAGACUUCAUCUCAAAAAAAAAAAAAAAAAAGACAUCACAUCACAGAUUCUAAGGAUUUUUGGAGUUGGAUGCCAGGAAACCGGAAGACUAAAUGUAUACAUAUUUCACAACAUCACAAUUACCGUGACAGUUUUUUUAAACUAUGUUAAAUUUCAUUAAUUGAUUAAAUUAUGUUAGUAAUUGUAUUAGUUUGCUCAGGGUGCCAUUGUAACUACCCAACAUAUUGUCCCUGCCCACUGCCUAGACUUUAUCAAGACAGGGGAAUUGCAAUAAAGAGUUUAAUUCACACAGAGCCAGCUUGUACAGGUUACUGAGGUUUUAUUACUACUCAAAAAAAAUCAGUGUCCUUGAGAAUUCAGGGAUCAGAGUUUUUUGUUUUUUGUUUUUUGUUUUUGAGUCCGAAUCUCACUCUGUCACCCACACUGGAGUGCAGUGGCGUGAUCUCGGCUCACUGCAACCUCCACCUCCUGGGUUCCAGUGAUUCUCCUGCCUCAGCCUCCCGGGUAGCUGGGACUACAGGCGCACACUACCAUGCCUGGCUAAUUUUGUAUUUUUCAUAGAGACGGAGUUUCUCCAUGUUGGUCAGGCUGGUCUUGAACUCCCUCAGGAGUUCAAGAUCACCUCAGGUGAUCUGCCCACCUGGGCCUCCCCAAAGUGCUGGGACUAUAGAUGUGAGCCACCAUGCCCGGCUGGGGAUCCGCGGUUUUAAGGAUAAUUUGGUGGGUAUGGGGUCAGAAAGUAGGGAGUGUUGAUUGGUUGGGUCAGAGGUGAAAUGAUAGGGAGUCAAAACUGUCCUCUUGUGCUGAGUCGGUUCCUGGGUGGGGGCCACAAGAUAUGAGCCAGUUUAUCAAUCUGGGUGGUGCCAGCUGAUCCAUGGAGUGCAGAGUCUGCAAAAUAUCUCAAGCACUGAUCUGUUUUUUAAUAGUGAUGUUAUCCUGAGAAGCAAUUUGGGAGGUUUAGAAUCUUGUAGCCUCCAGCUACAUGACUCCUAAACCAUAAUUUCUAAUCUUAUGGCUAAUUUGUUAGUCCUGAAAAGGCAGUCUUGUCCCCAGGUAGGAAGGGAGUUUGUUUUGCAAAGGGCUGUUAUCAUCUUUGUUUCAAAGCUAAACUAUAAACUAAGCGCCUCCCGAAGUUAUUUCAGCCUACACCCAGGAAUGAACAAGGACAGCUUGGAGGUUAGAAGCAAGAUGGGUUCAGUUAAGUCCGAUCUCUUUAACUGUAAUAAUUAUCUCAGUUAUAAGAAAAUAUAACACAACAAAAUCUCUCACAG